UACGGAAGGGGCAAGCGUUGUUCGGAAUCAUUGGGCGUAAAGGGCGCGUAGGUGGUUCUGUAUGUCUACCGUGAAAGCGUACGGCUCAACUGUAUUUUGUCGGUAGAAACUGCAGGACUUGAGGCUGGGAGGGGCUGGUGGAAUUCCCUGUGUAGCGGUGAAAUGCGUAGAUAUCUGGAGGAACACCGGUGGCGAAGGCGGCAUCCUGGACCGGCAUUGACGCUGAGGCGCGAAAGCCAGGGGAGCAAACGGG
RNAcentral lists this ribosomal RNA (253 nucleotides) under uncultured bacterium. RNAcentral describes it as "partial 16S ribosomal RNA". It matches the Rfam family "Bacterial small subunit ribosomal RNA", at positions 524 to 776 of the family's 1533-position model. The record is from RNAcentral.